This 441-nucleotide ribosomal RNA is filed under the name uncultured bacterium. RNAcentral describes it as "partial 16S ribosomal RNA". It matches the Rfam family "Bacterial small subunit ribosomal RNA", at positions 355 to 788 of the family's 1533-position model. The record is from RNAcentral.
UGGGGAAUAUUGCACAAUGGGCGCAAGCCUGAUGCAGCCAUGCCGCGUGUGUGAAGAAGGCCUUCGGGUUGUAAGCACUUUCAGCGAGGAGGAAGGGUUCAGUGUUAAUAGCACUGUUCAUUGACGUUACUCGCAGAAGAAGCACCGGCUAACUCCGUGCCAGCAGCCGCGGUAAUACGGAGGGUGCAAGCGUUAAUCGGAAUUACUGGGCGUAAAGCGCACGCAGGCGGUUUGUUAAGUCAGAUGUGAAAUCCCCGCGCUUAACGUGGGAACUGCAUUUGAAACUGGCAAGCUAGAGUCUUGUAGAGGGGGGUAGAAUUCCAGGUGUAGCGGUGAAAUGCGUAGAGAUCUGGAGGAAUACCGGUGGCGAAGGCGGCCCCCUGGACAAAGACUGACGCUCAGGUGCGAAAGCGUGGGGAGCAAACAGGGAUUAGAUACCCU